This 80-nucleotide non-coding RNA is filed under the name Aquimarina intermedia. Lineage: Bacteria; Pseudomonadati; Bacteroidota; Flavobacteriia; Flavobacteriales; Flavobacteriaceae. The record is from RNAcentral.
GUAAGCCGUAUGGGCGAAAAGUUCACGUACGGUUUGAUGAAGGGGGGCACUGAUAGUUCUAGAAUAUUUAUAUCUUUAAC